AAGAAAAUAAAGAUUUUACAGAAAAUGAUAAAGAUAGAAAAGCUCAUGUAGAAGUCAUAGCAAUAUACGGUAUACAUUCAUUAAUACUUAGCAAGUUCGAUAACUCGUAUAAGUAGUAUAUACGGUAACGAGUUAUGAAACAUUGCCCUGUAUUAAUCAGAGUACGGAUUUUUAUACUUACAAAAGAUUAUAAUUGAUCAUGGUCAUGAACAGUCAUAGCAUGUUACUGCCUUCUACAAUUGUUCUGGUUUAAACACAAAUGGCAUGGAAUAACAAAAGUUAGCACUCUCAAAAGGAGAAACAAACGUUGUGCGGCAAGCAUGGAAUUUUGUGCGACUGUCAUACAAGAUAAAAGUUGAGCUAG
RNAcentral lists this long non-coding RNA (364 nucleotides) under Mytilus galloprovincialis (Mediterranean mussel). The record is from RNAcentral. Lineage: Eukaryota; Metazoa; Mollusca; Bivalvia; Mytilida; Mytilidae.